Long non-coding RNA from Salvelinus sp. IW2-2015, 874 nucleotides. RefSeq lists it as uncharacterized. Lineage: Eukaryota; Metazoa; Chordata; Actinopteri; Salmoniformes; Salmonidae. The record is from RefSeq and is a predicted model, not a curated record.
UAUUGUCACUGUGUUCAAAGGUCCUGGACCUACCUGGCUGAAGCCCACUACAGUGACUGUUAUCGUGGUGAUAUUGGCCGGCCUGGUGUUUUUUCUCUCUUGGUCAGUAACUCACUGUAGCCCAGAGGCCUGCUACGCCUAUUUCCGCAAGGAGCCACAGCCCACUGCACUGCUCCUUGAUUGGCCUCUCACAAGAGUCAAGAUCUAUCCCCAAGAUGAGCUUCGUGAACCAAUCCACGCCGUCCUUUUAACUGAGCAUCAAAGAGGACUGAGCAGCAGUGAGCCAUCCAGUCAAUUGGAUAAGUGGACACAAUCUAUAUGUUCAGAAGGCACAGACAGACCAUAUCAAGUUUGAUUGAUACUGUAGGUUAAUAAGAAUGGUCAGAAGUGAUGAGUCUGGAUUGGAGAAGUCAGGAGGCCGGCAGUUGCUCAGAGGGAGACAGAAGGAUCCUGUGUGGCUCAGUUGGUUAGGGCAAUGACGCUUGUAACUCCAGGGUUGUGGGUUCGAUUCCCAUGGGGGACCAGUAUGAAAAGUGUAUGCACUCACUUUUGUAAGUCUGCUAAACUACAAUGUACAAUUAAGUAUUUGUGUUCUAGAUAGGUCCGAGAUGUAUAUGGGUGAUUCUACAGAAGUGGUGCAAAUUGCAGUCCCACCCCCAAAAAAAACUGUUACGUCUCCAAACUUAGGAACUUUUUUACAUCAUGAUAUGUUCUAAUUCAAUCUAAGACAAUAACAAACAUAUUGUUAAUUAAUAUAAUACAAAGUCAUUGUUUAUACKCUAUUUCUAUUGACAGGUGGCUAUUCCAAACCAUGUCUCCUAAACUCCAUGUUUUGAAAAUAAAGCAAUGAAUGAUUUUAGUAAUUUUUAUUUCA